AGGGGGGGGUUAACCAACAAGAACUGCUAAUUCUUACUUCUGGGCCUAAACCCCCAGCCCCCUCA
RNAcentral lists this transfer RNA (65 nucleotides) under Phodilus badius (oriental bay-owl). RNAcentral describes it as "tRNA-Ser". The record is from RNAcentral. Lineage: Eukaryota; Metazoa; Chordata; Aves; Strigiformes; Tytonidae.